UGAUGCUGACAUAUUGACAUUCUGCUU
This 27-nucleotide non-coding RNA is filed under the name Mus musculus (house mouse). Lineage: Eukaryota; Metazoa; Chordata; Mammalia; Rodentia; Muridae. The record is from RNAcentral.